Molecule: long non-coding RNA, 1193 nt
Organism: Osmerus eperlanus (European smelt)
Lineage: Eukaryota; Metazoa; Chordata; Actinopteri; Osmeriformes; Osmeridae
Exons: 2
Source: RefSeq, a predicted model, not a curated record
AAAUGGUAUUUCGUUUGCUGGGUAACAUGCUAAAUAGUCUAUUGACCAUGCGUUGCAUCGUAAUUAUAAUCUGUACUAUCUGCGGAUACAAUUAUCCUAUCUUUGUUGUUUUCUUUAUUAAAGCACACGUGAGCUAGCCAGCUAACAACAUUAGCACGUUAGCAGGCUUUCUAGCUACAUGUAUUGGAAUGCAAUUGUGAAGUGAACUAGCCCGUUUACAGUUCAGCUAGCUAGUGCGUAGAAUGCACGCUUAACUAGCUAUGCCGCGUAGCGUGCCUAGUUUGCUUCAACAUCAUUGAAGUUUGGCAGAGGAUACCAUAAAGCUAGUAAACAUUAUGCAUUCUGAUUAUGACCCCUGUCCUUGUUUUGAAAUGUGGACAGACUUGAAGAUCUAGUGGACUUGGGCCAUUACCAAAGGAUGGGGUUGUUUGCAGGCCUGGACAACAUUUAAAAGUUGUUUGAUGACAGAGAAUGGGGUUGCACUGUGGGAUGAGGUAGUAGGUUGUAUAGUUUUAGGGUCACACCCACACUGGGAGAUAACUAUACAAUCUACUGUCUUUCUCAACGUGACACUGAUACUUCUGUCUCCAACUUGCUUUUAGUACUUUUGAUUUUGAAUAAGGAUGUCCAACAAUCAACUUUCAAAUUAUAUUACAUUCCUUGUUCAACCUUUAUUUUUAUGAUAGAAGAUUUUUGUGACUAAAAUAGAUGUUGUUCACCUCUGAGAAAGUGAUGUAGGGUAUCGCCUGGUUACAAGUCAGUUAUUGCUUAAGCAGUGUGAGGUAGUAGAUUGUAUAGUUCAAGGGUAGGGAUUUUACCCUUUUUAGAUGAUAACUAUACAAUCUAUUGCCUUCCCUGAGAAGCAGAACAUCAUCUUUUCCAAACCAUUUGAAUGACUGCUUAUGUUCUCAAAGUUGUAUUCAGACAGACAUGUUUAUAUUACAAUACCAUAAAUGCAUCUCUGCAUGGUCAAUGCUGAUCUGCAACGGUGCAUGCAAAUUGGGUAAUUGUAGUUUAUAAAUUGCUUGCAUGCUAACCAUUAUGCCUAUGACAAGACAGAUUUCAGAUGGCCUAAAAUGUGUAGUUGUAGCUGAUUUUAUAGUUGGAGGAACAACCUGAAAACCGAAUGACUUACUGUAGCUCUGAAAAUGUAGUGAGGUAAUGCAAUAUAAAGAUAUGCUGAUCUUUGAAAA